RNAcentral lists this long non-coding RNA (304 nucleotides) under Nicotiana benthamiana. RNAcentral describes it as "long non-coding RNA (NBEN_LNC016582)". The record is from RNAcentral. Lineage: Eukaryota; Viridiplantae; Streptophyta; Magnoliopsida; Solanales; Solanaceae.
AAUUAAGGGUCGGGUUUCACAAUUUUCGAAAUCUUAGAUCACUUCUAGGUAUUUAUGAAAGGUGAUAAGUUUAGGCUUAUUGUUGUUCUUGUUAUUCUAAAGGGCCGGGUUUCACAAUCUAUCUCUUGUUUUUUUAAUUCUUUACCAAAGGCGAUUGGUUCUUCGUUAGCUAAUUGUUGUUGCUACGAUUCAACUUCAAGAAUAGAAUUCUUGAAUUCAAUCUAUCUUUAAUUUCCGUCUUCUUUUUUGUUUCCUUAAUUUCAUUUCGCUUCCGCACGUUUCUUAAUUUCUCUUUAAUAAUUCU